RNAcentral lists this ribosomal RNA (507 nucleotides) under uncultured bacterium. RNAcentral describes it as "partial 16S ribosomal RNA". It matches the Rfam family "Bacterial small subunit ribosomal RNA", at positions 28 to 507 of the family's 1533-position model. The record is from RNAcentral.
GACGAACGCUGGCGGCGUGCCUAAUACAUGCCAGUCGAACGCAUUUUCUUUCACCGUAGCUUGCUACACCGAAAGAAAAUGAGUGGCGAACGGGUGAGUAACACGUGGGUAACCUGCCCAUCAGCGGGGGAUAACACUUGGAAACAGGUGCUAAUACCGCAUAAUUCCAUUUACCGCAUGGUAAAUGGAUGAAAGGCGCUUUUGCGUCACUGAUGGAUGGACCCGCGGUGCAUUAGCUAGUUGGUGGGGUAACGGCCUACCAAGGCUGCGAUGCAUAGCCGACCUGAGAGGGUGAUCGGCCACACUGGGACUGAGACACGGCCCAGACUCCUACGGGAGGCAGCAGUAGGGAAUCUUCGGCAAUGGACGCAAGUCUGACCGAGCAACGCCGCGUGAGUGAAGAAUGUUUUCGGAUCGUAAAACUCUGUUGUUAGAGAAGAACAAGGAUGAGAGUGGAAAGUUCAUCCCUUGACGGUAUCUAACCAGAAAGCCACGGCUAACUACGUG